GACCUCAUAGGGUUGUGCUGCAGA
RNAcentral lists this non-coding RNA (24 nucleotides) under Cricetulus griseus (Chinese hamster). Lineage: Eukaryota; Metazoa; Chordata; Mammalia; Rodentia; Cricetidae. The record is from RNAcentral.